GUGAGGAAUUUUCCGCAAUGGGCGAAAGCCUGACGGAGCAAUGCCGCGUGAAGGAUGAAGGCCUAUGGGUUGUAAACUUCUUUUCUCAGAAAAGAAUUAUGACGGUAUCUGAGGAAUAAGCAUCGGCUAACUCUGUGCCAGCAGCCGCGGUACGACAGAGGAUGCAAGCGUUAUCCGGAAUGAUUGGGCGUAAAGCGUCUGUAGGUUGAUUAAAAAGUAUUCUGUCAAAGAUUAGGGCUUAACCCUAGAUAGGCAGAAUAAACUUUUAAGCUAGAGUUUGGUAGAGGCAGAGGGAAUUCCCGGUGGAGCGGUGAAAUGCGUAGAUAUCGGGAGGAACACCAAAGGCGAAGGCACUCUGCUGGGCCAAUACUAACACUGAGAGACGAAAGCGAGGGGAGCAAAUGGGAUUAGAUACCCCGGUAGUCC
This 426-nucleotide ribosomal RNA is filed under the name uncultured bacterium. Its description in RNAcentral is "partial 16S ribosomal RNA". It matches the Rfam family "Bacterial small subunit ribosomal RNA", at positions 354 to 796 of the family's 1533-position model. The record is from RNAcentral.